UUGUUUUUUAGCUUCCUCUGUCGUUCCUUCUACCUUGGCGCGCUGGCCAUCAGACGGAGGGGACUCCGGUGGGUUGGGCCGCGAGGUAUGCUCGGGGACCUCCCCCGAGGGUGAUUGUUAUCCCCCCCGGGGAAGCAACAGUGGACGUGUACGCGGAGAGUUGGCAUUGGAAACCGGCCACCCGGCGGCGAAGGGGCGGGCGGGGAGCUCCAUGCCGCCUCGGUGGUUAGCCGAGGCGGGGGCCUCAUCCACUCUCGCCCUUGGGUCUACGGCCCCUCCCGGGCCCGGGGGCACAAUUCGAGUCGGGCUACCCAACGCCCGCCCGCGUUUCCUGAAUCGUUUCUUUUUCUGGUAAUGAUCCUUCCGCAGGUUCACCUACGGAAA
This 384-nucleotide unclassified non-coding RNA is filed under the name uncultured fungus. Its description in RNAcentral is "sequence contains ITS1". Lineage: Eukaryota; Fungi. The record is from RNAcentral.